This 710-nucleotide ribosomal RNA is filed under the name Geobacillus sp. KK14. Its description in RNAcentral is "bacterial SSU rRNA". It matches the Rfam family "Bacterial small subunit ribosomal RNA", at positions 30 to 716 of the family's 1533-position model. The record is from RNAcentral. Lineage: Bacteria; Bacillati; Bacillota; Bacilli; Caryophanales; Anoxybacillaceae.
UAAGCCCUAGGGGCGUGCCUAAUACAUGCAAGUCGAGCGGACCGAAACGGAAGCUUGCUUCUGUUCGGUUAGCGGCGGACGGGUGAGUAACACGUGGGUAACCUGCCCGUAAGACCGGGAUAACUCCGGGAAACCGGGGCUAAUACCGGAUAACACCGAAGACCGCAUGGUCUUUGGUUGAAAGGUGGCUUUUGCUACCACUUACGGAUGGGCCCGCGGCGCAUUAGCUAGUUGGUGAGGUAACGGCUCACCAAGGCGACGAUGCGUAGCCGGCCUGAGAGGGUGACCGGCCACACUGGGACUGAGACACGGCCCAGACUCCUACGGGAGGCAGCAGUAGGGAAUCUUCCGCAAUGGACGAAAGUCUGACGGAGCGACGCCGCGUGAGCGAAGAAGGUCUUCGGAUCGUAAAGCUCUGUUGUUAGGGAAGAAGAAGUACCGUUCGAAUAGGGCGGUACGGUGACGGUACCUAACGAGAAAGCCCCGGCUAACUACGUGCCAGCAGCCGCGGUAAUACGUAGGGGGCGAGCGUUGUCCGGAAUUAUUGGGCGUAAAGCGCGCGCAGGCGGUCCCUUAAGUCUGAUGUGAAAGCCCACGGCUCAACCGUGGAGGGUCAUUGGAAAACUGGGGGACUUGAGUGCAGAAGAGGAGAGCGGAAUUCCCACGUGUAGCGGGUGAAAUGCGUAGAGAUGUGGAGGAACACCAGUGGC